RNAcentral lists this ribosomal RNA (253 nucleotides) under uncultured bacterium. Its description in RNAcentral is "partial 16S ribosomal RNA". It matches the Rfam family "Bacterial small subunit ribosomal RNA", at positions 524 to 776 of the family's 1533-position model. The record is from RNAcentral.
UACAGAGGUCCCAAGCGUUGUUCGGAUUCAUUGGGCGUAAAGGGUGCGUAGGCGGCGCGGUAAGUCGGGUGUGAAAUCUCGGAGCUUAACUCCGAAACUGCAUUCGAUACUGCCGUGCUUGAGGACUGGAGAGGAGACUGGAAUUUACGGUGUAGCGGUGAAAUGCGUAGAUAUCAAGUGGAACACCAGUGGCGAAGGCGAGUCCCUGGACACUUCCUGACACUGAGGCACGAAAGCUAGGGGAGCAAACAGG